This 632-nucleotide ribosomal RNA is filed under the name uncultured bacterium. RNAcentral describes it as "bacterial SSU rRNA". It matches the Rfam family "Bacterial small subunit ribosomal RNA", at positions 382 to 1024 of the family's 1533-position model. The record is from RNAcentral.
UCUGACGGAGCGACGCCGCGUGAUGGAUGAAGUGCUUUGGUACGUAAACAUCUUUUAUCAGGGACGAAGUUUAUUGACGGUACCUGAUGAAUAAGGGGCUCCUAACUCUGUGCCAGCAGGAGCGGUAAUACAGAGGCCCCAAGCAUUACCCGGAAUCACUGGGCGUAAAGGGUGUCAAGGCGGCCAUAUUAGUCUCCCGUAAAAUCCGUGGGCUUAACCUACGGCGCGCGGGGGAAACGGUAUGGCUCGAGGGCGCAAGAGGUGCACGGAACUCAUGGUGGAGGGGUGAAAUCCGUUGAUAUCAUGGGGAACACCAAAAGCGAAGGCAGUGCACUGGUGCGUUCCUGACGCUCACACACGAAAGCCAGGGUAGCGAACGGGAUUAGAUACCCCGGUAGUCCUGGCCCUCAACGUUGCUCGCUCGUUCUACGGAGUAUCGACCCUCUGUGGGACUAAGCUAACGCGGUAAGCGAGCCGCCUGGGUAGUACGAUCGCAAGAUUAAAACUCAAAGGAAUAGACGGGGACUCGCACAAGCGGUGGAUUAUGUGGCUUAAUUCGUCGGCAAACGAAGAACCUUACCAAGGUUAGAAAUCCAACUGCAUCCGACCCGAAAGGGACGGAGCCUUCGAGG